AUUGAACGCUGGCGGCAGGCCUAACACAUGCAAGUCGAGCGGAUGAAGGGAGCUUGCUCCUGGAUUCAGCGGCGGACGGGUGAGUAAUGCCUAGGAAUCUGCCUGGUAGUGGGGGAUGACGUCCGGAAACGGGCGCUAAUACCGCAUACGUCCUGAGGGAGAAAGUGGGGGAUCUUCGGACCUCACGCUAUCAGAUGAGCCUAGGUCGGAUUAGCUAGUUGGUGGGGUAAAGGCCUACCAAGGCGACGAUCCGUAACUGGUCUGAGAGGCUGAUCAGUCACGCUGGAUCUGAGACACGGUCCAGACUCCUACGGGGGGCAGCAGUGGGGAAUAUUGGACAAUGGGCGAAAGCCUGAUCCAGCCAUGCCGCGUGUGUGAAGAAGGUCUUCGGAUUGUAAAGCACUUUAAGUUGGGAGGAAGGGCAGUAAGUUAAUACCUUGCUGUUUUGACGUUACCAACAGAAUAAGCACCGGCUAACUUCG
Molecule: ribosomal RNA, 482 nt
Filed under: uncultured bacterium
Lineage: Bacteria
Description: partial 16S ribosomal RNA
Rfam family: Bacterial small subunit ribosomal RNA
Source: RNAcentral